Molecule: ribosomal RNA, 254 nt
Filed under: uncultured bacterium
Lineage: Bacteria
Description: partial 16S ribosomal RNA
Rfam family: Bacterial small subunit ribosomal RNA
Source: RNAcentral
UACGUAGGGGGCAAGCGUUGUCCGGAAUCAUUGGGCGUAAAGAGCGCGUAGGCGGCCCAGUAAGUCCGCUCUGAAAGUCAGGGGGCUCAACCCCUGAAUGCGGGUGGAUACUGCUGGGCUAGAGUCCGGAAGAGGCGAGUGGAAUUCCUGGUGUAGCGGUGAAAUGCGCAGAUAUCAGGAGGAACACCGAUGGCGAAGGCAGCUCGCUGGGACGGUACUGACGCUGAGACGCGAAAGCGUGGGGAGCGAACAGG